Molecule: long non-coding RNA, 364 nt
Filed under: Homo sapiens (human)
Lineage: Eukaryota; Metazoa; Chordata; Mammalia; Primates; Hominidae
Description: non-protein coding lnc-WARS2-2:1
Source: RNAcentral
CCACGAUCGACCUCUUUCGCUGAAGUCAGGAGUGACAGCAAUUAACUCCUCCGCUGCACCGUCCCCAGGGCCAGAUGCCACGUGAGAGACCCCAGGCUGGAGCGAGAACCUACUUUGGGAGGAUUGAAAGCUACAAAGGACGUUUGGGUGACCUCCCCACAACACAAGGUGGGGUGGGGGGUUUCAACCCACACUGCCCCAUCUUGAAUCGCCAUGGAUGACCAAGUAGUUGAAACACGACGGGGGACUUAGGUGCCAGUCCUUCUAGGCAGAAGGGCCCUCUUGGGUAAGUCCCUUUUCAGUCCUUAGUGUCUUCCAGAUAGCAGUAUAGUAUCUGUGGAAUCCGAUGGACCUUGGUUUAAAU